This 174-nucleotide unclassified non-coding RNA is filed under the name uncultured fungus. Its description in RNAcentral is "sequence contains ITS1, 5.8S rRNA gene". Lineage: Eukaryota; Fungi. The record is from RNAcentral.
CUGAGUGAGGGCCCUCCGGGUCCAACCUCCCACCCGUGUUUAUUCGUACCUUGUUGCUUCGGCAGGCCCGCCUCACGGCCGCCGGGGGGCUUCUGCCCCCGGGCCCGCGCCUGCCGGAGACAAUUCUGAACGCUGUCUGAAGAAUGCAGUCUGAGCGAUUAGCAAAAUUAGUUA